CGGACGUGGAUAACCUGCCUCACACAGGGGAUAACAGUUAGAAAUGACUGCUAAUACCGCAUAAGCGCACGGCAUCGCAUGAUGCAGUGUGAAAAACUCCGGUGGUGUGAGAUGGAUCCGCGUCUGAUUAGGUAGUUGGUGGGGUAACGGCCCACCAAGCCGACGAUCAGUAGCCGACCUGAGAGGGUGACCGGCCACAUUGGGACUGAGACACGGCCCAG
This 221-nucleotide ribosomal RNA is filed under the name uncultured bacterium. Its description in RNAcentral is "partial 16S ribosomal RNA". It matches the Rfam family "Bacterial small subunit ribosomal RNA", at positions 112 to 334 of the family's 1533-position model. The record is from RNAcentral.